This 497-nucleotide ribosomal RNA is filed under the name uncultured bacterium. RNAcentral describes it as "partial 16S ribosomal RNA". It matches the Rfam family "Bacterial small subunit ribosomal RNA", at positions 28 to 507 of the family's 1533-position model. The record is from RNAcentral.
GAUGAACGCUGGCGGCGUGCCUAAUACAUGCAAGUCGAGCGAACAGACGAGGAGCUUGCUCCUCUGACGUUAGCGGCGGACGGGUGAGUCACACGUGGAUAACCUACCUAUAAGACUGGGAUAACUUCGGGAAACCGGAGCUAAUACCGGAUAAUAUCUUGAACCGCAUGGUUCAAUAGUGAAAGACGGUUUUGCUGUCACUUAUAGAUGGAUCCGCGCCGCAUUAGCUAGUUGUUAAGGUAACGGCUUACCAAGGCGACGAUGCGUAGCCGACCUGAGAGGGUGAUCGGCCACACUGGAGCUGAGACACGGUCCAGACUCCUACGGUAGGCAGCAGAAGGGAAUCUUCGGCAAUGGGCGGAAGCCUGACGGAGCAACGCCGCGUGAGUGAUGAAGGUCUUCGGAUCGUAAAACUCUGUUAUUAGGGAAGAACAAAUGUGUAAGUAACUAUGCACGUCUUGACGGUACCUAAUCAGAAAGCCACGGCUAACUACGUG